UUUGGCGAUUUCUACUCCAAGACCACGCAUGCCUGCAAUAAGGACGUUGGCAGUGCCCAUCCGGUGCAUCGCCUCAUGACCCAGAACAUACCUGUACAUGUAAAAGGACGAUUUUAACUCAGAGAUCAGAAGACACCUGACUGUACUACAACCGAGCAGGCCAAACAAGAAACAGAAAAAAAUCUACAGUAUUCUGGUCAAAGAUCCCCUCCAGACAUAUACAACUGUAAAGGAUAAUGUGCGUCAAAUGUAUUUUUUUUUUUAAAAAAGUCUCUAUUAAAAUGUUUGUAAUAACAACUACUCCUAAGUCAUUAAGUGGCUCCAAACUAUUUGUGACAUUUAGCAAUAAAGAGAUCAGUCCCCUCAUGGGCGCCUGGCCAAGGGCACCAAAAUGUCCAGAAACAGCUUUGAUCAAACCCUCAUUUGAUUCAGUUUUAAUGCUUUAAUGUACCUACAAUCAUGAUUUGUCACAAAUCAUGAUUGUAGGUACAUGCCUUGAACUCAGACCAACUUUCCUCCUUCAGCAGAUGAAUGUGAAAACAGCCCUCUAGUGUCAGAUAAACACUCAAACACUUUGAGU
Molecule: long non-coding RNA, 580 nt
Organism: Thunnus maccoyii (southern bluefin tuna)
Lineage: Eukaryota; Metazoa; Chordata; Actinopteri; Scombriformes; Scombridae
Exons: 3
Source: RefSeq, a predicted model, not a curated record